Molecule: ribosomal RNA, 253 nt
Filed under: uncultured bacterium
Lineage: Bacteria
Description: partial 16S ribosomal RNA
Rfam family: Bacterial small subunit ribosomal RNA
Source: RNAcentral
UACGGAGGGUGCAAGCGUUAAUCGGAAUUACUGGGCGUAAAGCGCACGCAGGCGGUCUGUCAAGUCGGAUGUGAAAUCCCCGGGCUUAACCUGGGAACUGCAUUCGAAACUGGCAGGCUAGAGUCUUGUAGAGGGGGGUAGAAUUCCAGGUGUAGCGGUGAAAUGCGUAGAGAUCUGGAGGAAUACCGGUGGCGAAGGCGGCCCCCUGGACAAAGACUGACGCUCAGGUUCGAAAGCGUGGGGAGCAAACAGG